RNAcentral lists this ribosomal RNA (107 nucleotides) under Diaphorina citri (Asian citrus psyllid). Lineage: Eukaryota; Metazoa; Arthropoda; Insecta; Hemiptera; Psyllidae. The record is from RNAcentral.
GCCAGAGGUAAUAUCACGGUUGAAUACAAUAGUUCCCAUUGGACCACUGAAGUUAAACACCGUUGCGCGUGGUUAGUAUCCAGAUGGGCAAUCGUGUGCUGUUGACU